GCACAAGCGGUGGAUGAUGUGGUUUAAUUCGAUGCAACGCGAAAACCUUACCCACCUUUGACAUGUACGGAAUCCUUUAGAGAUAGAGGAGUGCUCGAAAGAGAACCGUAACACAGGUGCUGCAUGGCUGUCGUCAGCUCGUGUCGUGAGAUGUUGGGUUAAGUCCCGCAACGAGCGCAACCCUUGCCAUUAGUUGCUACGAAAGGGCACUCUAAUGGGACUGCCGGUGACAAACCGGAGGAAGGUGGGGAUGACGUCAAGUCCUCAUGGCCCUUAUAGGUGGGGCUACACACGUCAUACAAUGGCCGGUACAGAGGGUAGCCAACCCGCGAGGGGGAGCCAAUCCCACAAAGCCGGUCGUAGUCCGGAUCGCAGUCUGCAACUCGACUGCGUGAAGUCGGAAUCGCUAGUAAUCGCGGAUCAGCAUGUCGCGGUGAAUACGUUCCCGGGUCUU
Molecule: ribosomal RNA, 454 nt
Filed under: uncultured Comamonadaceae bacterium
Lineage: Bacteria; Pseudomonadati; Pseudomonadota; Betaproteobacteria; Burkholderiales; Comamonadaceae
Description: bacterial SSU rRNA
Rfam family: Bacterial small subunit ribosomal RNA
Source: RNAcentral